UACGUAGGGUGCGAGCGUUGUCCGGAAUUAUUGGGCGUAAAGGGCGCGUAGGCGGGAUGGCAAGUCGGUCGUGAAAUCCCUCGGCUCAACUGAGGAUCGUCGAUCGAUACUGCCGUUCUUGAGGAUUGCAGAGGAGACUGGAAUUCCCGGUGUAGCGGUGAAAUGUGUAGAGAUCGGGAGGAACACCGGUGGCGAAGGCGGGUCUCUGGGCAAUUCCUGACGCUGAGGCGCGAAAGCGUGGGGAGCGAACAGG
Molecule: ribosomal RNA, 253 nt
Filed under: uncultured bacterium
Lineage: Bacteria
Description: partial 16S ribosomal RNA
Rfam family: Bacterial small subunit ribosomal RNA
Source: RNAcentral